This 448-nucleotide ribosomal RNA is filed under the name uncultured bacterium. RNAcentral's name for it is "bacterial SSU rRNA". It matches the Rfam family "Bacterial small subunit ribosomal RNA", at positions 29 to 524 of the family's 1533-position model. The record is from RNAcentral.
AACGAACGCUGGCGGCAGGCUUAACACAUGCAAGUCGAGCGCCCCGCAAGGGGAGCGGCAGACGGGUGAGUAACGCGUGGGAACGUGCCUUUUGGUUCGGAACAACUCCGGGAAACUGGAGCUAAUACCGGAUAAGCCCUUCGGGGGAAAGAUUUAUCGCCAAAAGAUCGGCCCGCGUCUGAUUAGCUAGUUGGUGGGGUAACGGCUCACCAAGGCGACGAUCAGUAGCUGGUCUGAGAGGAUGAUCAGCCACACUGGGACUGAGACACGGCCCAGACUCCUACGGGAGGCAGCAGUGGGGAAUAUUGGACAAUGGGCGCAAGCCUGAUCCAGCCAUGCCGCGUGAGUGAUGAAGGCCUUAGGGUUGUAAAGCUCUUUUGUCCGGGAAGAUAAUGACUGUGCCGGAAGAAUAAGCCCCGGCUAACUUCGUGCCAGCCGCCGCCGUAAA